RNAcentral lists this ribosomal RNA (207 nucleotides) under uncultured bacterium. RNAcentral describes it as "partial 16S ribosomal RNA". It matches the Rfam family "Bacterial small subunit ribosomal RNA", at positions 1287 to 1500 of the family's 1533-position model. The record is from RNAcentral.
CUCAGUUCGGAUCGGAGUCUGCAACCCGACUCCGUGAAGCUGGAUUCGCUAGUAAUCGCGCAUCAGCCAUGGCGCGGUGAAUACGUUCCCGGGCCUUGUACACACCGCCCGUCAAGCCAUGGAAGCCGGGGGUGCCUGAAGUGUGCAGCCGCAAGGAGCNCCCUAAGGUAAAAACCGGUGACUGGGGCUAAGUCGUAACAAGGUAAC